Molecule: long non-coding RNA, 793 nt
Organism: Sardina pilchardus (European sardine)
Lineage: Eukaryota; Metazoa; Chordata; Actinopteri; Clupeiformes; Clupeidae
Exons: 5
Source: RefSeq, a predicted model, not a curated record
GCUCUGAACAAGCAGAUAGGUCGGUAAUGCUGUGCUCGCAAGAAGAUCGAGAAAAAGUCAGCACAAUGGCAAGUUUAAGACGGAUUUGUAGAGUGUUUUUGAGCUAUGCAAUUAGUUGAUGGGUAAACACUGACCUGAUGUCUGAUAUUCAAGCGUCUCAACUCCGAUGACUAAAACAGGCAACGUUGAGUGAAUGAAACAGGAAGCAGGCCUAACGUCCCACGUGGGUUAAGAGACCGAAGUUCUGAAAGAUGGAUGAGCUCUUCAGUAUCCCUGUGCCAUUGCAUCAAAUCUUGAUGUCGAAAGGCUGGAAAGAACGUUGCUCUGGCUGAGGCAUGCAGUGGUAGGUGCAUUUCAUGGACGAUAUGGACAGCAUCAGGGUGAAAUUGGUUGUCCAUAGCAGCUAAUAACCAAAGAGGACAGUGAUGUGCCACACCCGCAUGGGAUUCAACAAGCCAUGAUGGUUGAACUACUUGGAGGGCAUCCAGAGAAACGGGGUGAAAAAUGAAUAGUCUACAGCUGCUAAAGACCAAAGACAAGAUGUCUCACCAGCAUGCAAAUCAACAAACAACCGGGUGAGCCUGGUGAUGUCCUGGACCAAAGAAAUAAAUAUCUUGCAAUACAAUAAAGAAUUGUCCAAGAAAUGCCUUUGUAAUUAUUUGAAAUUUGUGUUGAAGUCUGGGCGCUGUGCAGAGAUGGGGAUCCGUAAAGUUGAACUAAAGUACAGUUCAUUCAUUACUUAGGGAUUCUCACAUCAGAACUGUCAGAUGAUCCUCUUUGUGGCCUCACAACU